This 1497-nucleotide small RNA is filed under the name Pongo abelii (Sumatran orangutan). Its description in RNAcentral is "retained intron". The record is from RNAcentral. Lineage: Eukaryota; Metazoa; Chordata; Mammalia; Primates; Hominidae.
AUUUCCCAGCAUCCCGCGCGCCGCAGACCCACUUCCGGAGACCUCAGACAAGAUGGCGGCACCCGAGGAACACGAUUCUCCGACCGAAGCGUCCCAGCCGAUUGUGGAAGAGGAGGAAACUAAAACAUUUAAAGACCUGGGUGUGACAGAUGUGUUGUGUGAAGCUUGUGACCAGUUGGGAUGGACAAAACCCACCAAGAUCCAGAUUGAAGCUAUUCCUUUGGCCUUACAAGGUCGUGAUAUCAUUGGGCUUGCAGAAACUGGCUCUGGAAAGACAGGCGCCUUUGCUUUGCCCAUUCUAAAUGCACUGCUGGAGACCCCACAGCGUUUGUUUGCCCUAGUUCUUACCCCGACUCGGGAGCUGGCCUUUCAGAUCUCAGAGCAGUUUGAAGCCCUGGGGUCCUCUAUUGGAGUGCAGAGUGCUGUGAUUGUAGGUGGAAUUGAUUCAAUGUCUCAAUCUUUGGCCCUUGCAAAAAAACCACAUAUAAUAAUAGCAACUCCUGGUCGACUGAUUGACCACUUGGAAAAUACGAAAGGUUUCAACUUGAGAGCUCUCAAAUACUUGGUCAUGGAUGAAGCCGACCGAAUACUGAAUAUGGAUUUUGAGACAGAGGUUGACAAGAUCCUCAAAGUGAUUCCUCGAGAUCGGAAAACAUUCCUCUUCUCUGCCACCAUGACCAAGAAGGUGCAAAAACUUCAGCGAGCAGCUCUAAAGAAUCCUGUGAAAUGUGCCGUUUCCUCUAAAUACCAGACAGUUGAAAAAUUACAGCAAUAUUAUAUUUUUAUUCCUUCUAAAUUCAAGGAUACCUACCUGGUUUAUAUUCUAAAUGAAUUGGCUGGAAACUCCUUUAUGAUAUUCUGCAGCACCUGUAAUAAUACCCAGAGAACAGCUUUGCUACUGCGAAAUCUUGGCUUCACUGCCAUCCCCCUCCAUGGACAAAUGAGUCAGAGUAAGCGCCUAGGAUCCCUUAAUAAGUUUAAGGCUAAAGCCCGUUCCAUUCUUCUAGCAACUGACGUUGCCAGCCGAGGUUUGGACAUACCUCAUGUAGAUGUAGUUGUCAACUUUGACAUUCCUACCCAUUCCAAGGUAAGCCCUAUUGCUAACUUGCCUUUCUAGUCCUAAAGUGUAUUUCUUAAUGGAGUGUCUUCUGUCUUUCCUUAGUUGUAGCAGUUUUUUUGUUCCUGGUUAAUUAAGUAUCAAAAAACAAGAAAGCCCUUGAUUAGUUCAUUCACAUCAUCUUGCACAGGCCUGUGUAUGUAACAUUAGUACAUAUGAAAGAGGUAGCCAAGGAGAGUUAUUAGAUGUUCAUAGAAGGGGCUGGUGCACCACAUACUGAUCUUGUCACUGUCAUUUCUUGAGAAUGACAGCUUGUAGUUUUUUUGAGGCGGAGUCUCGCUCUGUCACCCAGUCUGGAGUGCAGUGUUGCAGUCUUGGCUCACUGCAUGCUCUGCCUCCUGGGUUCACGCCAUUCUCCUGCAUCAGCCUCCUGAGUAGCU